Long non-coding RNA from Papaver somniferum (opium poppy), 835 nucleotides. RefSeq lists it as uncharacterized. NCBI's taxonomy places the organism in Eukaryota, Viridiplantae, Streptophyta, Magnoliopsida, Ranunculales, Papaveraceae. The transcript is spliced from 3 exons. The record is from RefSeq and is a predicted model, not a curated record.
UUCGAGCUAGGUUUAGAGGAGGAGAAAACUUAUCGUUGUUACAGAUGAAGAUGGUGAUCGGAUUGAGAUCGGAUUAGAAAACUUCAUAACCAUGAGAUUAAGUCCCCAAUUUCAAUCGAAGUUUUCUUCUCCAUUGAAUUGCAGAACUGAACUGCUUCAACUACACGGGUGAUUUUAUGGUCGGAUUGAUCUUGAAUUUACAAAUUGGGGUUUUAAUUUUCUUUUUCAGUUCCACCAUGUUUGUAGUGCUUGGGAAGCUGACCGGAUUUUGAAGUAGCAACAACAAGAAGAAGAAGCUCUCCUUCCUUUUUAGUAGUGAGGUUCUGAGUUAAUUUGGAACUUGGAAAUCAGAUGAGAAGUUCGCGAGGUAUAUCGUGCUUUGCUUAGUGAGAAAACACAAUUUUCCACGAGAUGAAAUAGAUACAGGUAGUUGCUCAUGGAUGAGAAUGUUGAUUCCGAGGUUACCCAUGGAGCACCCAAAAAGAGUUAAAACUACCUUUUGAGCUUACACGAAAGCAGUUCCCAAUUCGUGCAGGUUUUCUUUAACCAUAAACAAGUCUUAAGGGCAAACCAUACCACAUGUUGGUGUUUACCUACAAGAUCAUGUGUUUAGUCAUGGACAGUCGUAUAUUGCUUUGUCCAGGGGAGUCUCAGGAACCAUAACAGACCAGAAAUGUGAUAGUGCGGGGUAAUGUGUUUCUUAUUGAUUUAAUUUCAAAUGAAUCUUUUUAUUGUUGGUAUGUUUCCGAGAAACAUUUUAUUGUCGCCUCAUAUUUUUUCGAACAUGGAAUAACGUAUGUGAGAGUUUAUUGUUUGCCGACGUGCAACGCACGUG